UAUACUAACUCCUUAUUUUAUAAAUUUUUUUGUUACUUUUCUCAAAAUAAAUUUGUUAUCCUUCACAAGAAAAAAAAAUCGUUUUUUGCCAGCUCUCAAAAUUUAGGCAAAGAAAGACAAAGUACCAGAAAAGGAUGACAAAGAUCUAUUGUGAUACAUGUCGUGCCGGAUUUGAGACCGAAAUUUCCGAACCUAUCAAAGGAGCUAAGGUAGGGUUAGAAUGCAGAAAUAAAGAAGGUGGAAACAUUACAUACACGGCCGAGGAUAUUGUGACCGAUGAGGAUGG
Papaver somniferum (opium poppy) is the source of this 286-nucleotide long non-coding RNA. RefSeq lists it as uncharacterized. NCBI's taxonomy places the organism in Eukaryota, Viridiplantae, Streptophyta, Magnoliopsida, Ranunculales, Papaveraceae. The record is from RefSeq and is a predicted model, not a curated record. The transcript is spliced from 3 exons.